Molecule: ribosomal RNA, 253 nt
Filed under: uncultured bacterium
Lineage: Bacteria
Description: partial 16S ribosomal RNA
Rfam family: Bacterial small subunit ribosomal RNA
Source: RNAcentral
UACGUAGGGGGCAAGCGUUGUCCGGAAUUAUUGGGCGUAAAGAGCGUGUAGGCGGCUCGAUAAGUCCGCUGUGAAAGUCCAGGGCUCAACCCUGGGAUGCCGGUGGAUACUGUCGGGCUCGAGUCCGGAAGAGGCGAGUGGAAUUCCUGGUGUAGCGGUGAAAUGCGCAGAUAUCAGGAGGAACACCAAUGGCGAAGGCAGCUCGCUGGGACGUGACUGACGCUGAGACGCGAAAGCGUGGGGAGCAAACAGG